This 403-nucleotide ribosomal RNA is filed under the name bacterium. Its description in RNAcentral is "partial 16S ribosomal RNA". It matches the Rfam family "Bacterial small subunit ribosomal RNA", at positions 355 to 776 of the family's 1533-position model. The record is from RNAcentral.
UGGGGAAUAUUGCACAAUGGAGGGAACUCUGAUGCAGCGACGCCGCGUGAACGAAGAAGGCUUUCGAGUCGUAAAGUUCUUUUAUAUGGGAAGAUAAUGACGGUACCAUAAGAAAAAGCCCCGGCUAACUACGUGCCAGCAGCCGCGGUAAUACGUAGGGGGCUAGCGUUGUCCGGAAUCACUGGGCGUAAAGGGUUCGCAGGCGGAAAUGCAAGUCAGGUGUAAAAGGCAGUAGCUUAACUACUGUAAGCAUUUGAAACUGCAUAUCUUGAGAAGGGUAGAGGUAAGUGGAAUUUUUAGUGUAGCGGUGAAAUGCGUAGAUAUUAAAGAGAAUACCGGUGGCGAAGGCGACUUACUGGGCUCAUUCUGACGCUGAGGAACGAAAGCGUGGGUAGCAAACAGG